Non-coding RNA from Aggregatibacter actinomycetemcomitans D11S-1, 130 nucleotides. The record is from Rfam. NCBI's taxonomy places the organism in Bacteria, Pseudomonadati, Pseudomonadota, Gammaproteobacteria, Pasteurellales, Pasteurellaceae.
UCAUCACCAUCAUGUAACUGAAUAAUCUUUCAGGUAUGUGGUGUGCUUGGAAGAUCACUUCCGAGCAAGGUGCGAAUAAUUCAUGGUUUAUCACAACCCCUCGGAAGUUAACUUUCGAGGGGUUUUCUUU